AACAGGUCAGAGGAAAGGCAUGGAACAACCCAGAUGUUGUGGUGGAUGACCUCUUAACGCCCUGCUCUCCAAACGACCCAGGCACAAUCCAGAUGACCUGGGUGGAUGUAGCGAGCGAUAAACUCCUGGAGCCGAUAGUCAGCUUGGAGGACAUGUUGAGGUCGCUCGAGAAGACCAAGCCCACUGUGAACGAGGAGGAUCUGGAGAAGCUGAAGAAGUUCACUGAGGACUUUGGCCAGGAGGGAUGAAUUUUUGCAGAAUUCACGUGGCAUUUAUUUAUUUUUUUCCAUCACGUUUACAAAGCUCCCUCUACAUAUUUUAUUUUUCAAAAUCUUUGAUAAGUCUUUAACCCUGAGAUUUUUUUUGGGGUGUAACAAUUUUGUGAGCCUUAAUAUUAUCCUGAACAUAACCAUUCAGAUCAGAUAUCCAUUCAUUAUUACUAAAAGUCCUCUUAAUUUUAAAUGGUUUGUUGCAAAUGGGUCAUGAUAUUUUUACUUGGACUUUUGAGAGAUUAAAAAAAAAAAGAUAAUUUGUAUUUAAGUUGGUCACUUGUGCCUUAAUAUCUGGUUACUUUUGUACCUUAUUGCCAAAUAAGACUUAAAAACGACUAGUCUUAAAACCAC
Sinocyclocheilus rhinocerous is the source of this 623-nucleotide long non-coding RNA. RefSeq lists it as uncharacterized. Lineage: Eukaryota; Metazoa; Chordata; Actinopteri; Cypriniformes; Cyprinidae. The record is from RefSeq and is a predicted model, not a curated record. The transcript has 2 exons.